Long non-coding RNA from Hyla sarda, 785 nucleotides. RefSeq lists it as uncharacterized. The record is from RefSeq and is a predicted model, not a curated record. NCBI's taxonomy places the organism in Eukaryota, Metazoa, Chordata, Amphibia, Anura, Hylidae. The transcript is spliced from 4 exons.
GCCUGAGCCUUGCGGCAACGGCUGAAUGAUCUAAAUUAUAGAGUGUGUCAUCCCCUAAGCACUCUGCAGUAUCACCGGACCCAAUAUUUCCCCUAAAUCUGGACAGAUCUGCACAUCACUCCCUAAAUUCAGAGACUAUAAGUUCAAUGCAAGAACACCUCACAACAAUGAUGUGUACAGAGUAAAAAAAAAAAGUGAUCAUCCCUCCCUGCUUCCAGCUUGCGGUCCAAAGAAUGCGUGAGUCUGUGAGGAGCGCGAAUAUUUUGUAUAUGCGAAUAUGCAAAUAUUUGCGAAUAUCGGCACAUCCAGAGGACACUGAUCCCUCCCUCCUUUUAGAAUAGGCAAUAUACUGAUGUAGCAAAUUAUUUGGCACAACUCAUUUGAGGAUCCAAUGCUUUGCCUAUGGCGUUCCAUGGGACCUUCAUAUGUUUUCUAGGCACAUAAGGAAAGCAAGAUAAGCCCUUUUAUUAUGUUAACACAGCGACUUAUGAUGGUGGACGCGAGAAGACGUAAAAUACAAACUGAGUUUCUAUAUAGAAGUAAAAUGUGAAACUGAGACAAUGCUGAGCUCCGCAUGUGUGUGCUAACAUACGACUAGUGCUUAGAUGAAUGCGUACUGCCAUCCUACACAUUAGCACAGUGACGCUUCUCAGAUGUAGCAGAGCUGAGCUGACUGUGGCAAAACGCGUUGUACUAGAACAAGGUGAUUUUGCAUAGGACUGCAUGAAAAGCAACUGCAAGUAUCCUUAUUAUUACAGAACCUUGGCUGAUAUAGUUAUUCCUUG